GCUGGCGGCAGGCUUAACACAUGCAAGUUGAGCGGUAGCAGAUCUAGCUUGCUAGAUGCUGACGAGCGGCGGACGGGUGAGUAACGCGUAGGAACCUGCCCAGUAGUGGGGGAUAGCCCGGGGAAACUCGGAUUAAUACCGCAUACGCUCUACGGAGGAAAGAGGGGCUUCGGCUCUCGCUAUUGGAUGGGCCUGCGUGAGAUUAGCUAGUUGGUGAGGUAAUGGCUCACCAAGGCGACGAUCUCUAGCUGGUCUGAGAGGAUGAUCAGCCACACUGGGACUGAGACACGGCCCAGACUCCUACGGGAGGCAGCAGUGGGGAAUAUUGCACAAUGGGCGCAAGCCUGUUGCAGCCAUGCCGCGUGUGUGAAGAAGGCUUUCGGGUUGUAAAGCACUUUCAGUGGGGAGGAAGGCCACGUAGUUAAUAGCUGCGAGGAUUGACGUUACCCACAGAAGAAGCACCGGCUAACUCCGUG
This 476-nucleotide ribosomal RNA is filed under the name uncultured bacterium. RNAcentral describes it as "bacterial SSU rRNA". It matches the Rfam family "Bacterial small subunit ribosomal RNA", at positions 35 to 507 of the family's 1533-position model. The record is from RNAcentral.